CAGGUACCACAGCAGCCGUUCCUACAAAGGGGAUAGCUGCUGCAACCAGCCCACCUGCUGUGAUUUCAGGUACCACAGCAGCUGUUCCUACUAAGGGGAGAG
Long non-coding RNA from Perca flavescens (yellow perch), 102 nucleotides. RefSeq lists it as uncharacterized. The transcript is spliced from 3 exons. NCBI's taxonomy places the organism in Eukaryota, Metazoa, Chordata, Actinopteri, Perciformes, Percidae. The record is from RefSeq and is a predicted model, not a curated record.